Molecule: long non-coding RNA, 759 nt
Organism: Gopherus flavomarginatus (Mexican gopher tortoise)
Lineage: Eukaryota; Metazoa; Chordata; Testudines; Testudinidae
Exons: 3
Source: RefSeq, a predicted model, not a curated record
GGAGGGAACCUAAUGGGGACACCGAGCAGAGAACCCCGGACAGCGCCCACUGCUCCUCGAAGGCGUCAAGGGAGCCAGUGGACGCCGCCCAGAGGAACUCCGCCCGGAUGCGUGAACGGACCAUGGAUCGGAAACAAGCCCCACAGUCACCGGAGUCUCCAUUGGCCAACCUCCCCUCCCUGGUAGCGUGGAUGGCCUUCUUCGCCAGGGCGAGGAGGAGGUUGACCAGGAGGUCCCGGGACUUCGUGGGGCCACGGAUAGGGAGUGCAUACAAAAGGAGGUGAGGGGAAAAGUGUAACCAGAAACGUAAGAGGAUGGCUGUGAGGAGCCGGUGUAGGGGCUGCAACCUGGCGCAUUCUAAGUAAACAUGCGCCAGGUUCUCCCUCACGCCGCAGAAGGGGCAGGUGUCCGGGACAGGGGUAAACCGCGCCAAGUACACGCCCGUGCUCACGGCCCCAUGGAGGAGCCGCCAACUGAUAUCCCCAGUGGGCCUUGGGACCAGGGUGGAGUAGAGGCUGGCCCACCGGGGCUCCUCACCCUCCAGAGGUGGCAGGAGGUCCUGCCACUUCGUAUCAGGGUGGGACACGAGGGUGAGGAAGUGAAGGGUGUGGAGCACGAGCGUGUAGAGCUGUUUCCUCGGCGCGGUUUGGAAACGGACCGGCUGCAGGUCGUGCAGCCGGCUUGCGGAGAAGGGACGGGGGGGCCGGUCGGGCCUACGGGGCAGAGGCCCGAUGAAAAGGUCCGGAGGGCUUGGGGUGG